UACGGAGGGUGCAAACGUGGCUCGGAAUCAUUGGGCGUAAAGCGCACGUAGGCGGCGCACCAAGUCGGACGUGAAAGCCCUCAGCUCAACUGAGGAAGUGCGCCCGAAACUGCAUGGCUUGAGUACCGGAGAGGAUGGCGGAAUUCCCCAAGUAGAGGUGAAAUUCGUAGAUAUGGGGAGGAACACCGGUGGCGAAGGCGGCCAUCUGGACGGAUACUGACGCUGAGACGCGAAAGCGUGGGUAGCAAACAGG
Molecule: ribosomal RNA, 253 nt
Filed under: uncultured bacterium
Lineage: Bacteria
Description: partial 16S ribosomal RNA
Rfam family: Bacterial small subunit ribosomal RNA
Source: RNAcentral